This is a long non-coding RNA of Manis pentadactyla (Chinese pangolin), 1582 nucleotides long. RefSeq lists it as uncharacterized. The record is from RefSeq and is a predicted model, not a curated record. The transcript has 6 exons. Lineage: Eukaryota; Metazoa; Chordata; Mammalia; Pholidota; Manidae.
CCCCGGAAGGGGAGACCAUGUGGGUCAGCUCCCUAGGGGUUUGUGGAAUGAAUGAGCAAAGAGGGAGGUCAAGACCGGAGAGAGAUGAAGUCCCACUCUCCCGUCCUGGCCCUGGAGACAGAAAUGCUGUGCAACAGGAUGUGGGGUAUAGGCAGGCUGCCCAGACAUGGACCGGGCAGGACCCGGAUGGUGGGGCUGUAGGUGCCAGGCAGGUGUGUGGGGUGGGGGCCCAGGUGGGGGCCCACCCGGAGACCUGAGCAAAGGCCUGAGCGCAGCAGGUACUGGGGCAGCAACCAGAGGGCAAAGGUCCCCAGGCAGGGAGGGAGGGACACUGCCGGAAGGAGGGAGCUGCCCGAGGCCCCUCCCAGCACAGCCAGAGCCCUGGAAGAGCUGCUGGGGGGGACAGGGGCCAAGAGGCACAGGCCCUUCAGUUGUCCAGCUGCAGUGCUGUGAGGGGCUCCCCUGGGACCCCUGCCAAUGUGCAGAGGAGGGUGGGAAGGCGAGUGGGGGCCUGCGCGGCCCCACUGCCUGGGGCGGGCACUCACCGGCAGGAUGGAGAAGCGCAUGAAGAGGCAGGUGAACUCCAGGGCGACCAGUGUGUAGGGUGCAGGGAGGUUGGAGGAGCAGGUCAAGGCUGGGCAGGGGCUCCACACCUGGCAGCUGCAGUUCAGGGGUCAUCCUGGCCAGAGCAAGCUCAGGUUCCGUGUGGGCGGGGAGCUUCCUGGUCCCGAGGGAGCAUGGGAGACUGCUUUUCAGGCUGGAUAAGGGAAGAGGACACCCAGAAGCCCAGAACCCCUGGGUCUGAUUUUCCUUGUCCAGAGUAAGUAGCUCAGACUGUGGGCCAGUGUAACUGAAGCACUCAGCCUCUCAGCAAACGUUCUGUGCUUCCCAGGACCCACUCCCACCACCAGGCUUACAGAGAAAGUGCUGGCCAUUCUGAGGGCCAGGAGCCCCUGGACAGGACAGAGAUCCCAGGGAAAUGUCUGUUGGAUGGACAGGUGGACAUGCACGAGGACACACGUCAGAUGCUCCUAGUCCAGGCCCUGACUGGACAUUCGAGGGGGAGCUGUGCACGAUCACACUGCCAGCAGUGGCUGCCGUGGCAAGGCUCAGAUUCGCUUGAUUUACUGUUUUCUGUGAAUGAGAAUCCAGAGCAUCUGGGGAAGGCGCUCAGCAGGACUCAACUGUGAAACCCCCAGCAGCCUGUGCUGGGGUCUGUGCUCACAGCGGAGCACAGGGGUUCUGCGUGGGGCUCUGCAGUCAGCCCCAUGGGGCUGGCACUCUUUCUAGGCCUUGGCCAGGGGCUAUCCUCUCAAGCCCGUUCCCCCAUCUGUGAAAAAGGGCCAACACCCAUCUCUGCCUCCUAGGAGGAUUAAAUUAGAUAAUUCACACAUAAAGUGCAUGGCACAGGACCACGUGGCACAGAGAGGGUAUGCCAUGUGCCACCAACAGUAACUGGGUGCUGACCAGCAUUCAGCUGUGGCUGGACGGGGAACCUGCUGAGCGCCAGGCAUGUGCAGCUGGGUGGAGUGGGCUGGGUGUCAGAUGAAGACAGACCCACGGGAGUCAUGGUGACCUGCAG